This is a long non-coding RNA of Erinaceus europaeus (western European hedgehog), 550 nucleotides long. RefSeq lists it as uncharacterized. The transcript is spliced from 2 exons. The record is from RefSeq and is a predicted model, not a curated record. NCBI's taxonomy places the organism in Eukaryota, Metazoa, Chordata, Mammalia, Eulipotyphla, Erinaceidae.
GAUGAAGAGAGUGAGGUAGGAGCCCUCGCUCAGGCUCCGUACCGAGUCGAAGCCCCGCUCCUUGCUGUAGCCCAAAAGGACUGGGGGGAUGUCAAUCUUGAAUGUUCCGUCAAUCUGUGAAGAAAGCAGCACCCGCCACCAAGCUGUUGAUGCUACCAUGAUGCCAUCCUGACUUCCCGGGACAGACGACCUCACCAGUAUGUCCUGGAACCUCUCCGCCCCAGAGAUCUGCCCCACUAGGGAAACAGGCUGGGAGUAUGGAUCCACCUGCCAAUGUCCACAUUCAGUGGAGAUGCAAUUACAGAAGCCAGACCUUCCACCUUCUACACCCCAUAAAGAAUUUUGGUCCAAACUCCCAGAGGGAUAAAGAAUAGAGAAGCUGUUAAUGAAGGGGAUGGGACACAGGAUUCUGGCGGUGGGAACUGUGUGGAAUUAUACCCCUGUUAUCUUACAAACCUGUUAUUCAUUAUUAAGUAACUAAUAAAAAAUUAAAAGAAGAAAUAUGCAUAGGCAAAAAAUAAGUAAAUAAAAUGAAAUGGAAGCAAGAGAA